AGAGUUUGAUCCUGGCUCAGAACGAACGUUGGCGGCGUGGAUUAGGCAUGCAAGUCGAGCGGGAUCCUGUUUUUUCAAUUCUUCGGAAGAGAAGUUUCAGGUGAGAGCGGCGCACGGGUGAGUAAUAUAUGGGUAAUUUGCCUCUUUGUCCGGGAUAGCCCGAGGAAACUCGGAUUAAUACCGGAUGUGUUCAGGUACCGCAUGGUACCUUAUAUAAAGGCGGGGAUCUUCGGACCUUUCGCAAAGAGAUAAGCCCAUAUCCUAUCAGCUUGUUGGUGAGGUAACGGCUCACCAAGACUUACGGGUAGCUGGUCUGAGAGGAUGAUCAGCCACACUGGAACUGAGACACGGUCCAGACUCCUACGGGAGGCUGCAGUCGAGAAUCAUUGUCAAUGCACGGAAGUGUGAACAUGCGACGCCGCGUGGAGGAAGACGGCCUUCGGGUUGUAAACUCCUGUCAGCAGGGAGGAAAAACAGCAUCACUAAUAUUGGUGUUGUUUGACAGUACCUGCAGAGAAAGUCACGGCUAACUCUGUGCCAGCAGCCGCGGUAAUACAGAGGUGGCGAACGUUGUUCGGAUUUACUGGGCGUAAAGGGUCCGCAGGCGGUUCGGUGUGUCGGAUGUGAAAGCUCACAGCUUAACUGUGGAAAUGCAUUCGAAACUGCCGGACUAGAGUACUGGAGAGGUGAAGGGAACACUUGGUGUAGCGGUGAAAUGCGUAGAUAUCAAGUGGAACACCGGAGGCGAAGGCGCUUCACUGGACAGAUACUGACGCUCAUGGACGAAAGCUAGGGUAGCGAAAGGGAUUAGAUACCCCUGUAGUCCUAGCCGUAAACGGUGUGCACUAGACGUGGGUGGAUUUACCCCCAUCCGUGUCUGAGCUAACGCAUUAAGUGCACCGCCUGGGGAGUACGGUCGCAAGAUUAAAACUCAAAGGAAUUGACGGGGACCCGCACAAGCGGUGGAGCAUGUGGCUUAAUUCGAUGCAACGCGAAGAACCUUACCUGGACUUGACAUACAGCUGCAUACGACCUGAAAGGGACGUAGCCUUCGAGGGUGCUGUACAGGUGCUGCAUGGCUGUCGUCAGCUCGUGCCGUGAGGUGUUGGGUUAAGUCCCGCAACGAGCGCAACCCUUGUGUUUAGUUGCCAGCACGUAAUGGUGGGAACUCUAAACAGACUGCUUGUGAAAACAAGAGGAAGGUGGGGAUGACGUCAAGUCAGUAUGGUCCUUAUGUCCAGGGCUGCACACGUGCUA
This 1257-nucleotide ribosomal RNA is filed under the name metagenome. Its description in RNAcentral is "bacterial SSU rRNA". It matches the Rfam family "Bacterial small subunit ribosomal RNA", at positions 8 to 1227 of the family's 1533-position model. The record is from RNAcentral.